AAGUCGUAACAAGGUUUCCGUAGGUAAGUUAUCACAGAAUCUCUCAUUCUUCGUGGGAACACUCACUAACAUCUUCAAGGUGAACCUGCGGAAGGAUCAUUACAGUGUUAAGGCUUCGGCCUCAUUCACACCCCUUGUUGAACCUCUGGUUUCUUUGGCGAUGUCAUGGACUCGUCAGACUUUAACUCUGAUAAUGCGAUACUGUCCGAGUGAGAUUGAAUUAUUAAAACUUUCAACAACGGAUCUCUUGGUUCCAGCAUCGAUGAAGAACGCAGCGAAAUGCGAUAAAUAAUGUGAAUUGCAGAAUUCCGUGAAUCAUCGAGUUUUUGAACGCACAUUGCACUCCUUGGUAUUCCGAGGAGUACGCCUGUUCGAGCGUCAUUACACUCUCAAGCUCUGCUUGGAUUUGAAUCACUGCCGUGGCAGGAUUCCAAUAUCGUCGGCAAUUGACCAUCUGUGAUGACUCACUCCGAGUUAAUUCGCCUGACACUUCUUUCAAGUUGACCUCGGAUCAGGCGGGGAUACCCGCUGAACUUA
Molecule: ribosomal RNA, 537 nt
Filed under: uncultured fungus
Lineage: Eukaryota; Fungi
Description: eukaryotic LSU rRNA
Rfam family: 5.8S ribosomal RNA (bases 228-381)
Source: RNAcentral